This 560-nucleotide ribosomal RNA is filed under the name uncultured archaeon. RNAcentral's name for it is "bacterial SSU rRNA". It matches the Rfam family "Archaeal small subunit ribosomal RNA", at positions 333 to 897 of the family's 1478-position model. The record is from RNAcentral.
CAGCAGGCGCGAAAACUCUACAAUGCAGGCAACUGCGAUAGGGGAACAUCGAGUGAUCCUCAUAUUGGGGGUCUGUCCACUCGCCUAAAAAGUGGGUGUUAGCAAGGGCCGGGCAAGACCGGUGCCAGCCGCCGCGGUAAUACCGGCGGCUCGAGUGGUGGCCGAUAUUAUUGAGUCUAAAGGGUCCGUAGCCGGCUUUGCAAGUCUCUCGGGAAAUCCAGCGGCUUAACCGUUGGUCGUCCGGGGGGUACUACAUUGCUUGGGACUGGGAGAGGUAGGAGGUACUCAGGGGGUAGGAGUGAAAUCCUGUAAUCCUUUGGGGACCACCGGUGGCGAAGGCGUCCUACCAGAACAGGUCCGACGGUGAGGGACGAAAGCUAGGGGCACGAACCGGAUUAGAUACCCGGGUAGUCCUAGCCGUAAACGAUGCUCGCUAGGUGUCACAACAGUCGUGAACUGUUGUGGUGCCGUAGGGAAGCCGUGAAGCGAGCCACUUGGGAAGUACGACCGCAAGGUUGAAACUUAAAGGAAUUGGCGGGGGAGCACAAGGGCGAUUCGCG